UACAGACGGUCCAAACGUUAUUCGGAAUCACUGGGCUUAAAGAGUUCGUAGGCGGUCAGGAAAGUGGGGUGUGAAAGCCCUCGGCUUAACCGAGGAAUUGCGCUCCAAACUCCCUGACUUGAGGAGGCUAGAGGUAAGCGGAACUGAUGGUGGAGCGGUGAAAUGCGUUGAUAUCAUCAGGAACACCGGAGGCGAAGGCGGCUUACUGGGGCCUUUCUGACGCUGAGGGACGAAAGCUAGGGGAGCGAACGGG
This 253-nucleotide ribosomal RNA is filed under the name uncultured bacterium. RNAcentral describes it as "partial 16S ribosomal RNA". It matches the Rfam family "Bacterial small subunit ribosomal RNA", at positions 524 to 776 of the family's 1533-position model. The record is from RNAcentral.